AUUACCAACAUACAGAAUCUUAACAUUUUGUUAUCUAUGAUUUUGUGAUUACUGAAGGUUGGCAGCUUUGCAAUGACUUUUUCACUUUUUGAAGUUGUUUGAAAAUUGUAUAAAACAAACAUCUGAAAAAAUUGAUUUUUGCUUGAAUAUCAAGUGAAUUGGCUAUUAAAUUUGUGCUUUUAUGUUAAGUUUUGUUGCGUGUCACCGAUUUCGUGAGUUUAAUUACAUUUUCACCGACUCCUUGAAAAGUGAUACCUACUUAUUAUUUUCGUCUGAAAAUAUUUCAACUAACAUGGAAAGCCGCAUCUGCAAGAAGUGUACGAUUUGUGGAGUACGUAGACUCCCCAAAUCGAGCAUAUUUCUUGCAAAAUUUCCUCUUGACCCUGAUCGAUGUCGAUUAUGGGUGAAAGCAUCGGGCAUUGAAGAUUUAGUUUAUGUGCCAAUUGAAAAGUUGCAUCAGCUCAAGUUUAUCUGUGGUGCCCACUUUACCCGUCAAUGCUUUAAUGCAAAAGGGAACCGGUUGUUAGCCAGUGCAGUGCCAACUGAAGGUCUCAUGAGAACCCCUUUAUCUGAUGACCUUUUUACUGAGUUUCCUUUGCAUAUUAAAUCAUAUUAUGAUAAAAUUAAUCCUGCUGGAAAACAUACAGAUAAACUUAUGUCUACUACCGAAAAGAUAAACAUGAAUAUGGCAAUUGAAGCAAGCACUGAAAUAAAUGAGACAGAGGCACAUAUUUAUCAAGGUGGACCAGUGCUUACUAAUGUCCAUAAAACAUAUGGUACUGAUAAUUUUGUACCAAUACCUUCAACCUCGAAAACUCCUACACACUUGACAUAUAAAAGAAAAAAAGGAGGUAAGAAAUACUACUAUUUAUACUUCAUUGCAGCCCGUUCACCGUCAAUGAUAAAACAUUGUCGUUUUUUUCGAAUGCUUCUUUGCUGCUGCUGGUUUGUUUUUGUGUUUCCUUGCAAUGUAACAUUAAAAUUUAAAAAAGAAAGUAUGUGGCACCUCAGUAUUGUUCAGAUGUGCAGCACUUGGCGGUGAAUGGGUUAACACCCACUCAAGUAGAAAUGUAUCCUACGGCGAACAUUGAAAUUUCGGUUCAGAACAUUGUAUCACCAAAAAAAUGCAAGACUGGAACCACAAUGCAGAUGGGGGGUGAAGAAAUUCUGGUGCAAGGCUAUAAAACAUCAAGGAAAAGUCGAACAAAUGAUGAAAUAACUUUAACAAAAAGAGAAAGGAGAAUAUUAAAACGUCUACAAGAAUCAAAAAUCACGAUAAGGAGAAUGGCAAAGUCCUUAUUAAAUUUGGAUAAAUUAGACUCUGAUAUCCUUAAAUCGAUUGUGGAAAAUGCAGUCAAAAAUUACAAAAAAGCCCCACACGGAAAACGAUGGCAACCGCAAAACAAAACCUACGCUCUGUCUAUUUUUAAGCGUUCUCCUAAAGCAUACCGGUAUUUGCAAAAAAUGUUACCACUCCCAAGCACACGAUCACUUCAAAGGCUUUUAAAAGAAAUCCCUAUGGAACCUGGCAUUCAUUCUAAGAUUAUACAGAUAUUAAAAGAAAAAUCU
Molecule: long non-coding RNA, 1569 nt
Organism: Aricia agestis (brown argus)
Lineage: Eukaryota; Metazoa; Arthropoda; Insecta; Lepidoptera; Lycaenidae
Exons: 7
Source: RefSeq, a predicted model, not a curated record